ACGAAGGUCCCAAGCGUUGUUCGGAAUUACUGGGCGUAAAGCGUGCGUAGGCGGCGAGGUAAGUCAGAUGUGAAAUCCCGGGGCUCAACUCCGGAACUGCAUCCGAUACUGCCUUGCUAGAGUAAUGGAGGGGCAUCUGGAAUUCACGGUGUAGCAGUGAAAUGCGUGGAUAUCGUGAGGAACACUAGUGGCGAAGGCGAGAUGCUGGACAUUUACUGACGCUGAGGUACGAAGGCUAGGGUAGCGAACGGG
Molecule: ribosomal RNA, 252 nt
Filed under: uncultured bacterium
Lineage: Bacteria
Description: partial 16S ribosomal RNA
Rfam family: Bacterial small subunit ribosomal RNA
Source: RNAcentral